This 253-nucleotide ribosomal RNA is filed under the name uncultured bacterium. RNAcentral's name for it is "partial 16S ribosomal RNA". It matches the Rfam family "Bacterial small subunit ribosomal RNA", at positions 524 to 776 of the family's 1533-position model. The record is from RNAcentral.
GACAGAGGGUGCAAACGUUGUUCGGAAUUACUGGGCGUAAAGCGCGUGUAGGCUGCUCGGAAAGUCGGAUGUGAAAGCCCUAGGCUCAACCUAGGAAGUGCAUUCGAAACUUCUGAGCUUGAGUAUCGGAGAGGGUCGCGGAAUUCUCGGUGUAGAGGUGAAAUUCGUAGAUAUCGAGAGGAACACCGGUGGCGAAGGCGGCGACCUGGACGAUUACUGACGCUGAGACGCGAAAGCGUGGGGAGCAAACAGG